GAACACUUGUCUGAUUUUACACAUGAUAGCCAAGUUGAAAAUUUUCGUCACAUUUUUCUCAGGAACUACAAUACAAGGAUUUCUGAAAUUUGGUUUCAGGAUUUAUAUAAGUCAGAUAUACCGUGUGAUGCGUUUUCAGAUUCAUCACUCGACAACUUCCUGUUUACCGAAUACUUGUAUGAUUUUACACAUGAUAGCCAAGUUGAAAAUUUUCGUCACAUUUUUCUCAGGAACUACAAUACAAGGAUUUCUGAAAUUUGGUUUCAGGAUUUAUAUAAGUCAGCUAUACCGUGUGAUGCGUUUUCAGAUUCAUCACUCGACAACUUCCUGUUUACCGAACACUUCCAUAUUUUUACACUAUUAAUAUUAUCCACUUGCGGCGGGGGUAUCAUCAGUGAGCAGUAGCUCGCCGU
Molecule: long non-coding RNA, 413 nt
Filed under: Mytilus galloprovincialis (Mediterranean mussel)
Lineage: Eukaryota; Metazoa; Mollusca; Bivalvia; Mytilida; Mytilidae
Source: RNAcentral